This is a small nucleolar RNA of Carya illinoinensis, 108 nucleotides long. The record is from RefSeq and is a predicted model, not a curated record. NCBI's taxonomy places the organism in Eukaryota, Viridiplantae, Streptophyta, Magnoliopsida, Fagales, Juglandaceae.
UAACCAUGAUGUGGGCAAGCAUUCAAUAAAUCUUUAAACCUCUCCCAGCUUUGAUAAAAAGUUUCACCAUCUUUUUGCCCAAAAUUCAUAAUCUGCCUUUUCAAGGCA